Molecule: ribosomal RNA, 305 nt
Filed under: uncultured bacterium
Lineage: Bacteria
Description: bacterial SSU rRNA
Rfam family: Bacterial small subunit ribosomal RNA
Source: RNAcentral
CCUACGGGGGGCAGCAGUGAGGAAUAUUGGUCAAUGGCCGGAAGGCUGAACCAGCCAAGCCGCGUGAAGGACGAAGGUGCCAAGCAUUGUAAACUUCUUUUGUCAAGGGACAAAAUCAGGCUCGAGAGCCUGACCGAGGGUACUUGAAGAAAAAGCAUCGGCUAACUCCGUGCCAGCAGCCGCGGUAAUACGGAGGAUGCGAGCGUUAUCCGGAUUUAUUGGGUUUAAAGGGUGCGUAGGCGGACUGUUAAGUCAGCGGUAAAAGCCCGGGGCUCAACCCCGGCGAGCCGUUGAAACUGGCUGUC